This 666-nucleotide ribosomal RNA is filed under the name Tessaracoccus sp. Its description in RNAcentral is "bacterial SSU rRNA". It matches the Rfam family "Bacterial small subunit ribosomal RNA", at positions 83 to 762 of the family's 1533-position model. Lineage: Bacteria; Bacillati; Actinomycetota; Actinomycetes; Propionibacteriales; Propionibacteriaceae. The record is from RNAcentral.
GGGGGUACACGAGUGGCGAACGGGUGAGUAACACGUGAGUAACCUGCCCUUGACUCUGGGAUAACAUCUGGAAACAGGUGCUAAUACCGGAUAUGAACCCUUUACUCAUGUAUUGGGUUGGAAAGCUCCGGCGGUCAUGGAUGGACUCGCGGCCUAUCAGCUUGUUGGUGAGGUAAUGGCUCACCAAGGCUUCGACGGGUAGCCGGCCUGAGAGGGCGACCGGCCACAUUGGGACUGAGAUACGGCCCAAACUCCUACGGGAGGCAGCAGUGGGGAAUAUUGCACAAUGGGCGGAAGCCUGAUGCAGCAACGCCGCGUGCGGGAUGACGGCCUUCGGGUUGUAAACCGCUUUCAGCAGGGACGAAGCUAACGUGACGGUACCUGCAGAAGAAGCACCGGCUAACUACGUGCCAGCAGCCGCGGUGAUACGUAGGGUGCGAGCGUUGUCCGGAUUUAUUGGGCGUAAAGAGCUUGUAGGCGGUUUGUCACGUCGGGAGUGAAAACUCAGUUGCUUAACACUGAGCCUGCUUCCGAUACGGGCAGACUUGAGGAAGGUAGGGGAGAUCGGAAUUCCUGGUGGAGCGGUGGAAUGCGCAGAUAUCAGGAGGAACACCGGUGGCGAAGGCGGAUCUCUGGACCUUUCCUGACGCUGAGAAGCGAAAGCGU